GAAUUCCUACGGGAGGCAGCAGUAAGGAAUCUUCCACAAUGGGCGAAAGCCUGAUGGAGCAACGCCGCGUGGGUGAAGAAGGUCUUCGGAUCGUAAAACCCUGUUGUUAGAGAAGAAAGUGCGUGGGAGUAACUGUUCACGUUUCGACGGUAUCUAACCAGAAAGCCACGGCUAACUACGUGCCAGCAGCCGCGGUAAUACGUAGGUGGCAAGCGUUAUCCGAAUUUAUUGGGCGUAAAGGGAACGCAGGCGGUCUUUUAAGUCUGAUGUGAAAGCCUUCGGCUUAACCGGAGUAGUGCAUUGGG
Molecule: ribosomal RNA, 305 nt
Filed under: uncultured bacterium
Lineage: Bacteria
Description: bacterial SSU rRNA
Rfam family: Bacterial small subunit ribosomal RNA
Source: RNAcentral